GAUGAACGCUGGCGGCGUGCCUAAUACAUGCAAGUCGAGCGAACGGACGAGAAGCUUGCUUCUCUGAUGUUAGCGGCGGACGGGUGAGUAACACGUGGAUAACCUACCUAUAAGACUGGGAUAACUUCGGGAAACCGGAGCUAAUACCGGAUAAUAUUUUGAACCGCAUGGUUCAAAAGUGAAAGACGGUCUUGCUGUCACUUAUAGAUGGAUCCGCGCUGCAUUAGCUAGUUGGUAAGGUAACGGCUUACCAAGGCAACGAUGCAUAGCCGACCUGAGAGGGUGAUCGGCCACACUGGAACUGAGACACGGUCCAGACUCCUACGGGAGGCAGCAGUAGGGAAUCUUCCGCAAUGGGCGAAAGCCUGACGGAGCAACGCCGCGUGAGUGAUGAAGGUCUUCGGAUCGUAAAACUCUGUUAUUAGGGAAGAACAUAUGUGUAAGUAACUGUGCACAUCUUGACGGUACCUAAUCAGAAAGCCACGGCUAACUACGUGCCAGCAGCCGCGGUAAUACGUAGGUGGCAAGCGUUAUCCGGAAUUAUUGGGCGUAAAGCGCGCGUAGGCGGUUUUUUAAGUCUGAUGUGAAAGCCCACGGCUCAACCGUGGAGGGUCAUUGGAAACUGGAAAACUUGAGUGCAGAAGAGGAAAGUGGAAUUCCAUGUGUAGCGGUGAAAUGCGCAGAGAUAUGGAGGAACACCAGUGGCGAAGGCGACUUUCUGGUCUGUAACUGACGCUGAUGUGCGAAUGCGUGGGGAUCAAACAGGAUUAGAUACCCUGGUAGUCCACGCCGUAAACGAUGAGUGCUAAGUGUUAGGGGGUUUCCGCCCCUUAGUGCUGCAGCUAACGCAUUAAGCACUCCGCCUGGGGAGUACGACCGCAAGGUUGAAACUCAAAGGAAUUGACGGGGACCCGCACAAGCGGUGGAGCAUGUGGUUUAAUUCGAAGCAACGCGAAGAACCUUACCAAAUCUUGACAUCCUUUGACAACUCUAGAGAUAGAGCCUUCCCCUUCGGGGGACAAAGUGACAGGUGGUGCAUGGUUGUCGUCAGCUCGUGUCGUGAGAUGUUGGGUUAAGUCCCGCAACGAGCGCAACCCUUAAGCUUAGUUGCCAUCAUUAAGUUGGGCACUCUAAGUUGACUGCCGGUGACAAACCGGGGGAAGGUGGGGAUGACGUCAAAUCAUCAUGCCCCUUAUGAUUUGGGCUACACACGUGCUACAAUGGACAAUACAAAGGGCAGCGAAACCGCGAGGUCAAGCAAAUCCCAUAAAGUUGUUCUCAGUUCGGAUUGUAGUCUGCAACUCGACUACAUGAAGCUGGAAUCGCUAGUAAUCGUAGAUCAGCAUGCUACGGUGAAUACGUUCCCGGGUCU
This 1372-nucleotide ribosomal RNA is filed under the name uncultured bacterium. RNAcentral describes it as "bacterial SSU rRNA". It matches the Rfam family "Bacterial small subunit ribosomal RNA", at positions 28 to 1381 of the family's 1533-position model. The record is from RNAcentral.